UACGUAGGGUGCGAGCGUUAAUCGGAAUUACUGGGCGUAAAGGGUGCGCAGGCGGCUCCGCAUGUCGGGCGUGAAAUCCCUCGGCUCAACCGAGGAAGUGCACUCGAAACUGCGUAGCUAGAGUCUCGGAGAGGAAGGUGGAAUACUUGGUGUAGAGGUGAAAUUCGUAGAUAUCAAGUGGAACACCGGUGGCGAAGGCGGCCUUCUGGACGAUGACUGACGCUGAGACGCGAAAGCGUGGGGAGCAAACAGG
Molecule: ribosomal RNA, 253 nt
Filed under: uncultured bacterium
Lineage: Bacteria
Description: partial 16S ribosomal RNA
Rfam family: Bacterial small subunit ribosomal RNA
Source: RNAcentral